GAACAGCCGGCGCGCCAGGACCGAGCCGGCCGACAGUUCGCGGCUGUCGAGCUUAUCGUAGAGCAGUUCGAGUUCGCCGCCGAUCU
Molecule: transfer RNA, 86 nt
Filed under: Xylophilus sp.
Lineage: Bacteria; Pseudomonadati; Pseudomonadota; Betaproteobacteria; Burkholderiales
Description: tRNA-Ala
Source: RNAcentral